CUGCAGUAUUCUAUCAGACACACAGUUCUACCAGGAGACAGAUGUGAGAGGAGACCGUGUCAUGUGUGGAUACCAGGAGGUGUCUCAAAUCAGCACGAAAGCAUUGUCAUUUUUGUGCAUGGAACUGCCUCACUGGCCCUAUUUGAUUGGUCCAGGAAUGUCAAACCGGCUCAAGAUAAGCUAUUUAACCCCAGUGACAGUUGAUUGAUCCAUAAUGUGACACAGGUAGAUCAAUUAUAACCAUUUCUUUGAAUACUUGAACUUGGAACCACUAGGAGUAAAAAGGGGCUCCUCUUUGGGAAUAAAAGUUAUGAGAAAUGAA
This is a non-coding RNA of Oryctolagus cuniculus (rabbit), 322 nucleotides long. The record is from RefSeq and is a predicted model, not a curated record. NCBI's taxonomy places the organism in Eukaryota, Metazoa, Chordata, Mammalia, Lagomorpha, Leporidae.